RNAcentral lists this ribosomal RNA (809 nucleotides) under uncultured archaeon. Its description in RNAcentral is "bacterial SSU rRNA". It matches the Rfam family "Archaeal small subunit ribosomal RNA", at positions 113 to 922 of the family's 1478-position model. The record is from RNAcentral.
CCUUAGGUUGGGUAUAAACCCGGGAAACUGGGUAUAAUACCCGAUAGGUCUCGAUUGCUGGAAUGCAUCGAGAUUUAAAGCUCCGGCGCCUAAGGAUGGGUCUGCGGCCUAUCAGGUAGUAGUGGGUGUAGCGUACCUACUAGCCUACGACGGGUACGGGUUGUGAGAGCAAGAGCCCCGGAGAUGGAUUCUGAGACACGAAUCCAGGCCCUACGGGGUGCAGCAGGCGCGAAAACUUUACAAUGCUGGCAACAGCGAUAAGGGAACCUCGAGUGCCAGGUUACAAAUCUGGCUGUCGAGAUGCCUAAAAAGCAUUUCAUAGCAAGGGCCGGGCAAGACCGGUGCCAGCCGCCGCGGUAACACCGGCGGCUCGAGUGGUAACCGUUAUUAUUGGGUCUAAAGGGUCUGUAGCCGGCCGGAUAAGUCUCUUGAGAAAUCUGGCAGCUUAACUGUCAGGCUUUCAGGAGAUACUGUCUGGCUCGAGGCCGGGAGAGGUGAGAGGUACUUCAGGGGUAGGGGUGAAAUCUUGUAAUCCUUGAAGGACCACCAGUGGCGAAGGCGUCUCACCAGAACGGACCUGACGGCAAGGGACGAAAGCUAGGGGCACGAACCGGAUUAGAUACCCGGGUAGUCCUAGCCGUAAACGAUACUCGCUAGGUGUCGGCCACGGUGCGACCGUUGUCGGUGCCGUAGGGAAGCCGUGAAGCGAGCCACCUGGGAAGUACGGCCGCAAGGCUGAAACUUAAAGGAAUUGGCGGGGGAGCACCACAACGGGUGGAGCUUGCGGUUUAAUUGGAUUCAACGCCGGG